RNAcentral lists this ribosomal RNA (253 nucleotides) under uncultured bacterium. RNAcentral's name for it is "partial 16S ribosomal RNA". It matches the Rfam family "Bacterial small subunit ribosomal RNA", at positions 524 to 776 of the family's 1533-position model. The record is from RNAcentral.
UACGAAGGGGGCUAGCGUUGCUCGGAAUCACUGGGCGUAAAGCGCACGUAGGCGGCUUUCUAAGUCAGGGGUGAAAUCCUGGAGCUCAACUCCAGAACUGCCUUUGAUACUGGAGAGCUAGAGUCCGGAAGAGGUGAGUGGAACUGCGAGUGUAGAGGUGAAAUUCGUAGAUAUUCGCAAGAACACCAGUGGCGAAGGCGGCUCACUGGUCCGGUACUGACGCUGAGGUGCGAAAGCCAGGGGAGCAAACGGG